RNAcentral lists this ribosomal RNA (420 nucleotides) under uncultured bacterium. Its description in RNAcentral is "bacterial SSU rRNA". It matches the Rfam family "Bacterial small subunit ribosomal RNA", at positions 355 to 775 of the family's 1533-position model. The record is from RNAcentral.
UGGGGAAUCUUGCGCAAUGGCCGAAAGGCUGACGCAGCGACGCCGCGUGUGGGAUGACGCCUUUCGGGGUGCAAACCACUGUUGCCCGGGACGAACGACUUCUUUCGAGAAGUGUGACGGUACCGGGUGAGGAAGCACCGGCUAACUCCGUGCCAGCAGCCGCGGUAAUACGGAGGGUGCGAGCGUUGUCCGGAAUCACUGGGCGUAAAGGGCGCGUAGGCGGCUUGGGAAGUCCGUGGUGAAAGCUCGAGGCUCAACUUCGAGUCGGCCAUGGAUACUCCUAAGCUCGAGUCGACUAGAGGCUAAUGGAAUUCCGGGUGUAGCGGUGGAAUGCGUAGAGAUCCGGAAGAACACCGGUGGCGAAGGCGGUUAGCUGGGGUCGAACUGACGCUGAGGCGCGACAGCGUGGGGAGCAAACAG